This is a long non-coding RNA of Felis catus (domestic cat), 1256 nucleotides long. RefSeq lists it as uncharacterized. Lineage: Eukaryota; Metazoa; Chordata; Mammalia; Carnivora; Felidae. The transcript is spliced from 2 exons. The record is from RefSeq and is a predicted model, not a curated record.
CUUCAGUCCUCCUAUUCCAAUGUGGACUGGCUGGUCUCUAACUAAGCCUGUGCACCAAUUAGCUAUUUCUGCACCACAAAUUGCUUUAAAAUGUGGUGGUUAAAGACAACAAUUAUUCAGCUCAAUUCUGCAGGUUGGUGAAUUGGGCUGAGCUCUGCACACUGGUCCGCCUAGGCUCAGCUGGACUUCCUUAGGCAUCUGCAGUUAACUGCAGCCCUGCUUAUGGGGCUACGGGUGGAGUAGCUGGCUAUAGGAUGGUAUGCCCCAUGAUCUCUUAUCCUCCAGUGGGUUAGCCCAGAUUGCAUGGUGGAGACAAGGGCUGCAUAGACAGAGGAAGUAAUUAACCAAGACCUCUUGAGGCUAGGAUUAGAACUGGUUUGGUAUGACUUCCAUCACAUUUUACUGGCCAAACAAGUCACAAUGGCAGUCUAGAAUCAAGGGGUAGAACAGAUUCCAAGUUUCAGUGAAAGAUUCUGAAAGUCAGUCUGCAAAGAGCACAGAUAUGGGAAGGUCACAAACUGGGGCUUUCAAUUGAAGCAACUCAGCAGUCUGAUGCAUAGCCAUUGUGCUGGGGUCUCCUCUCACUACCAUCAGGUUUCUGAAACCAUAGCAGUGAUUUUAACUGCAUACGCAGGAAGACGGGGCUGAGGGGGGUGGGGGUGAAGGUCAUGGCUCAGCUGGUGCUGGUAUCUCUGAGAGCACUGUAGAUUCUACAAGUGUUGGGAAGACUGGAUUUAGCUGUUGUUCAAGAAAAAGGUUCUUCUGCCAGGGUGAAGAAGUGGCCAGUGUGAUCCUCUCAGGAACUGCAAGGAGACAGGAAGCAAACAGGAAGAAGCAAGUCCCUUCUUCCUUCUCCAGCCCUCCAGUUUCCUUCUAGCAAGCCCCUUCCUCAUUAGCACAACUUAACAGGGAGCCAGCUGGCCAAGGCAGAAGGGGAGAGGCAGAGUCUGGACCUCAGCAUCAUGUAGCAGAGUAUUAGAAAUAUGAGUUUGCAGUUGUGAGACAAUAUGCUAAUAAUGGGAACCCCGAGACCACAGGGUGAAGAAGCAAAAGCCAGCCUCCUGCAAAGUGAAAGACAAUAGGGAGGGAGAAGUUAACCAUCCCAGCAGAUCCCAGCCCUCAGUCACACCAGCUACCAGCUGACUGCAAAAAAGUGAAAUCAGUUCAUAUCAGCAGAAGCGCCACCUACCUCAGCCCAGCCCAAACCACAGACUUACACACUUGUGAACAAAUAAAAUGAUUUUUGUACUAAGCCA